GUGGGGAAUAUUGGGCAAUGGGCGAAAGCCUGACCCAGCAACGCCGCGUGAGGGAAGAAGGUUUUCGGAUUGUAAACCUCUGUCCUUGGUGACGAACACAAUGACGGUAGCCAAGGAGGAAGCCCCGGCUAACUACGUGCCAGCAGCCGCGGUAAUACGUAGGGGGCAAGCGUUGUCCGGAAUGACUGGGCGUAAAGGGCGUGUAGGCGGCCGAUUAAGUCUGGAGUGAAAGUCCUGCUUUCAAGGUGGGAAUUGCUUUGGAGACUGGUUGGCUUGAGGGCGGAAGAGGCAAGUGGAAUUCCCAGUGUAGCGGUGAAAUGCGUAGAGAUUGGGAGGAACACCAGUGGCGAAGGCGACUUGCUGGGCCGUAACUGACGCUGAGGCGCGAAAGCGUGGGGAGCGAACAGGAUUAGAUACCCCAGUAUCC
RNAcentral lists this ribosomal RNA (427 nucleotides) under uncultured bacterium. RNAcentral's name for it is "partial 16S ribosomal RNA". It matches the Rfam family "Bacterial small subunit ribosomal RNA", at positions 354 to 795 of the family's 1533-position model. The record is from RNAcentral.